RNAcentral lists this transfer RNA (67 nucleotides) under Schmidingerella taraikaensis. It matches the Rfam family "tRNA". From Rfam's summary of the family: Transfer RNA (tRNA) molecules are approximately 80 nucleotides in length. Lineage: Eukaryota; Ciliophora; Spirotrichea; Tintinnida; Rhabdonellidae. The record is from RNAcentral. RNAcentral also lists the same sequence under 1 other name.
CGACGUAGCUCAGGGGUAGAGCGUUUCCUUGGUAAGGAAGAGGUCGUGGGUUCAAUUCCCAUCGUUG